This is a non-coding RNA of Bos taurus (domestic cattle), 73 nucleotides long. The record is from Rfam. Lineage: Eukaryota; Metazoa; Chordata; Mammalia; Artiodactyla; Bovidae.
UCCCUGGUAGUCCAGUGGUUAAGGCUCUGCACUUCCACUGCAGGGGGCAUAGGUUUGAUUCCUGGUCAGGGAA